This 508-nucleotide ribosomal RNA is filed under the name uncultured bacterium. Its description in RNAcentral is "partial 16S ribosomal RNA". It matches the Rfam family "Bacterial small subunit ribosomal RNA", at positions 30 to 523 of the family's 1533-position model. The record is from RNAcentral.
AUUGAACGCUGGCGGCAUGCCUUACACAUGCAAGUCGAACGGCAGCGGGGGAGAAGCUUGCUUUUCCUGCCGGCGAGUGGCGAACGGGUGAGUAAUACAUCGGAACGUGCCCUGUAGUGGGGGAUAACUAGUCGAAAGAUUAGCUAAUACCGCAUACGACCUGAGGGUGAAAGUGGGGGACCGCAAGGCCUCAUGCUAUAGGAGCGGCCGAUGUCUGAUUAGCUAGUUGGUGGGGUAAAGGCCUACCAAGGCGACGAUCAGUAGCUGGUCUGAAAGGACGAUCAGCCACACGGGGACUGAGACACGGCCCGAACUCCUGCGGGAGGCAGCAGUGGGGAAUUUUGGACAAUGGGCGAAAGCCUGCUCCAGCAAUGCCGCGGGUGUGAAGAAGGCCUUCGGGUUGUAAAGCACUUUUGUCCGGAAAGAAAUGGCUCUGGUUAAUACCUGGGGUCGAUGACGGUACCGGAAGAAUAAGGACCGGCUAACUACGUGCCAGCAGCCGCCGUAA